AUGGGGUGCAGCAGGGGCGAAAACUUGGCAAUGCGAGAAAUCGUGACCAGGGAACUCCAAGUGGCUGGGGUAAGACCCAGUCUUUUCUUGACUCUUCAAAGGUCUUGGAAUAAGAGGUGGGUAAGGACGGUGCCAGCCGCCGCGGUAAUACCGGCGCCUCAAGUGGUAGUCGAUUUUAUUGGGCCUAAAACGUCCGUAGCCUGUUUGGUACAUUCGUGGGUAAAUCAACCAGCUCAACUGGUUGAAUUCUGCGAGCACGGCCAGACUUGGGACCGGGAGAGGUGUGGGGUACGCUCAGGGUAGGGGUAAAAUCCUAUCAUCCUGAGCGGACCACCUGUUGCGAAGGCGCCACACUAGAACGGAUCCGACGGUCAGGGACGAAGCCUAGGGGCACGAACCGGAUUAGAUACCCGGGUAGUCCUAGGUGUAAACGCUGUGGACUUGGUGUUGGGGAUGACCAGAUCAUUCUCAGUGCCGAAGCGAAGGUGAUAAGUCCACUGCCUGGGGAGUACGGUCGCAAGGCUGAAACUUAAAGGAAUNGGCGGGGGAGCAC
This 553-nucleotide ribosomal RNA is filed under the name uncultured euryarchaeote. Its description in RNAcentral is "bacterial SSU rRNA". It matches the Rfam family "Archaeal small subunit ribosomal RNA", at positions 325 to 879 of the family's 1478-position model. The record is from RNAcentral. Lineage: Archaea; Methanobacteriati; Methanobacteriota.